Long non-coding RNA from Camelina sativa (false flax), 530 nucleotides. RefSeq lists it as uncharacterized. NCBI's taxonomy places the organism in Eukaryota, Viridiplantae, Streptophyta, Magnoliopsida, Brassicales, Brassicaceae. The record is from RefSeq and is a predicted model, not a curated record.
AAAUGCCAUGAGAGAGAAUGCUAAGGAGAAGCCAAAGCACAGAGGAUAAGAUUUAGGUUCGGAAACUUGGAUAACAAACUCAAAGAGGGAGAAUCUUUCGGUGUUAUGGUCAUGGUGAAGGUGAAGGACACAAUAAAGGGAAGGCUUCAUUGGCUGAGACUCGACUCACAAUAUGUGAGGGACAUGAUGGAACCGAGACCUCCAAUGGUGAUGUACUUAUCUUUCCUGAUAUGAUAAGAUACAGAAGGUUGACUCAUUUUGAUGUGGAAACGUUUGUGGUAGAGGUGCUUGUGAAGGAUGGUGAAUGGCUGCCUGGAAAUCCUAAAUUGCUAAAAGGCUCAUAUGUCUUUGUAUGUUCCCAUGGAUCCCGAGACCGGCGAUGUGGGGUUUGUGGGCCGUCGCUGGUUAGUAGAUUCAGAGAAGAACUUGAGUUUCAUGGUCUUCAAGGUAAAGUGUCAGUUAGCCCAUGUUCUCACAUUGGUGGUCACAAAUACGCUGGCAAUGUUAUCAUCUAUAGAUCAAACAUCAAC